Molecule: long non-coding RNA, 546 nt
Organism: Leptinotarsa decemlineata (Colorado potato beetle)
Lineage: Eukaryota; Metazoa; Arthropoda; Insecta; Coleoptera; Chrysomelidae
Source: RefSeq, a predicted model, not a curated record
UAGAAUUUGGAACCUCUUAUAUAAAAUGAAUCUACUGAAAACGUGUUUCCUUCACCAGAACAGAAAUGUUGAAGAAGUUAGAAUAAUCAUCAAAAAUUUUGGUCAUCUCCUGAUGAUGAUGCUAAUCUGAUUAGCAAAACAAAUGUCGAAAAAUUGCAUUUUUGUUCCAAUGAGGAAAAAGUGUUUGAUAUAAAUAAAAACACAUAUUUGCCAUUAAAGCUACUAUGAAAAUAUUCUGUGUGUUACCAUAGUAUUUCACAUCCCACAUAACAUCAUAAACAUUAACCAAAGGAAAUGAAAGAAAUUUGAAACCAAAAUCAAACAAACCCAAAUCUCUGCAUUAUGAAAUUUUUUUUCUUUUGAAACCCAUAGUAAACUUCUUUCAGGCAUGAAUUACUUAAUUGAUGAGCCUUAAGAACUGGACGUGAAGUGGAUGUGUCACACAGUAAUUUGGAAUUCCAAACUAAAUACAAAAUUUUUUGUCAAGUAUUUUUAUUUGUUUUUCAAUAUGUAUUAAUAUACUGUUUAAUAGAUUCAGCUCCUCAA